Molecule: ribosomal RNA, 119 nt
Filed under: Pteropus alecto (black flying fox)
Lineage: Eukaryota; Metazoa; Chordata; Mammalia; Chiroptera; Pteropodidae
Source: RNAcentral
GUUUCUUUUCUAAAGACUAAUAAUAGGCCUGAUCCUGUCUGAUCUUGGAAGAUAAGCAGGGUCUGGUCUGGUUAGUACUUGGAUGGGAGACCAUGUAGGAAGACCAAAUGCUAUAGGCG